RNAcentral lists this ribosomal RNA (301 nucleotides) under uncultured bacterium. Its description in RNAcentral is "partial 16S ribosomal RNA". It matches the Rfam family "Bacterial small subunit ribosomal RNA", at positions 509 to 809 of the family's 1533-position model. The record is from RNAcentral.
CAGUCGCCGCGGUAAUACGUAGGGUGCAAGCGUUAAUCGGAAUUACUGGGCGUAAAGCGUGCGCAGGCGGUUAUAUAAGACAGAUGUGAAAUCCCCGGGCUCAACCUGGGAACUGCAUUUGUGACUGUAUAGCUAGAGUACGGCAGAGGGGGAUGGAAUUCCGCGUGUAGCAGUGAAAUGCGUAGAUAUGCGGAGGAACACCGAUGGCGAAGGCAAUCCCCUGGGCCUGUACUGACGCUCAUGCACGAAAGCGUUGGGAGCAAACAGGAUUAGAUACCCCAGUAGUCCCUGUCUCUUAUAA